CAGCUUGACUGCGAGCGUGACGGCGCGAGCAGGUGCGAAAGCAGGUCAUAGUGAUCCGGUGGUUCUGAAUGGAAGGGCCAUCGCUCAACGGAUAAAAGGUACUCCGGGGAUAACAGGCUGAUACCGCCCAAGAGUUCAUAUCGACGGCGGUGUUUGGCACCUCGAUGUCGGCUCAUCACAUCCUGGGGCUGAAGUAGGUCCCAAGGGUAUGGCUGUUCGCCAUUUAAAGUGGUACGCGAGCUGGGUUUAGAACGUCGUGAGACAGUUCGGUCCCUAUCUGCCGUGGGCGCUGGAGAACUGAGGGGGGCUGCUCCUAGUACGAGAGGACCGGAGUGGACGCAUCACUGGUGUUCGGGUUGUCAUGCCAAUGGCACUGCCCGGUAGCUAAAUGCGGAAGAGAUAAGUGCUGAAAGCAUCUAAGCACGAAACUUGCCCCGAGAUGAGUUCUCCCUGACCCUUUAA
This 462-nucleotide ribosomal RNA is filed under the name Shigella flexneri. RNAcentral describes it as "partial 23S ribosomal RNA". It matches the Rfam family "Bacterial large subunit ribosomal RNA", at positions 2365 to 2824 of the family's 2925-position model. The record is from RNAcentral. Lineage: Bacteria; Pseudomonadati; Pseudomonadota; Gammaproteobacteria; Enterobacterales; Enterobacteriaceae.